AGACCCGAAACCCGGUGAUCUAGCCAUGGGCAGGUUGAAGGUUGGGUAACACUAACUGGAGGACCGAACCGACUAAUGUUGAAAAAUUAGCGGAUGACCUGUGGCUGGGGGUGAAAGGCCAAUCAAACCGGGAGAUAGCUGGUUCUCCCCGAAAGCUAUUUAGGUAGCGCCUCGUGAAUUCAUCUCCGGGGGUAGAGCACUGUUUCGGCUAGGGGGCCAUCCCGGCUUACCAACCCGAUGCAAACUGCGAAUACCGGAGAAUGUUAUCACGGGAGACACACGGCGGGUGCUAACGUCCGUCGUGAAGAGGGAAACAACCCAGACCGCCAGCUAAGGUCCCAAAGUCAUGGUUAAGUGGGAAACGAUGUGGGAAGGCCCAGACAGCCAGGAUGUUGGCUUAGAAGCAGCCAUCAUUUAAAGAAAGCGUAAUAGCUCACUGGUCGAGUCGGCCUGCGCGGAAGAUGUAACGGGGCUAAACCAUGCACCGAAGCUGCGGCAGCGAACGUAUCACCCAAGACAACUUUACGGAGUUGACGAUUGACGGAGCGAAGCGACGUCAAAGCGUUCAUUAAAGUCGAGUUGGCUUAGGGAUACGUUCGUUGGGUAGGGGAGCGUUCUGUAAGCCUGUGAAGGUGUGUCGUGAGGCAUGCUGGAGGUAUCAGAAGUGCGAAUGCUGACAUAAGUAACGAUAAAGCGGGUGAAAAGCCCGCUCGCCGGAAGACCAAGGGUUCCUGUCCAACGUUAAUCGGGGCAGGGUGAGUCGACCCCUAAGGCGAGGCCGAAAGGCGUAGUCGAUGGGAAACGGGUUAAUAUUCCCGUACUUGGUGUUACUGCGAAGGGGGGACGGAGAAGGCUAUGUUGGCCGGGCGACGGUUGUCCCGGUUUAAGCGUGUAGGUGUGUGUUCCAGGUAAAUCCGGUUCACUUUAACACUGAGGCGUGACGACGAGGCACUACGGUGCUGAAGCAACAAAUGCCCUGCUUCCAGGAAAAGCCUCUAAGCAUCAGGUAACAUCAAAUCGUACCCCAAACCGACACAGGUGGUCAGGUAGAGAAUACCAAGGCGCUUGAGAGAACUCGGGUGAAGGAACUAGGCAAAAUGGUGCCGUAACUUCGGGAGAAGGCACGCUGACACGUAGGUGAAGUGAUUUACUCAUGGAGCUGAAGUCAGUCGAA
Molecule: ribosomal RNA, 1174 nt
Filed under: Salmonella enterica
Lineage: Bacteria; Pseudomonadati; Pseudomonadota; Gammaproteobacteria; Enterobacterales; Enterobacteriaceae
Description: partial 23S ribosomal RNA
Rfam family: Bacterial large subunit ribosomal RNA
Source: RNAcentral